AGAGUUUGAUCCUGGCUCAGGAUGAACGCUGGCGGCGUGCUUAACACAUGCAAGUCGAACGUGAACUUGACUUCGGUCAGGUGAAAGUGGCAAACGGGUGAGUAACACGUUGGUGACCUGCCCCAAAGCGGGGGAUAACCCUGGGAAACCAGGGCUAAAACCGCAGAUGUUGAAGUUAUUAGAAGACUUCAACUAAAAUGAUUAGUGCUUUGGGAGGGGCCUGCGGGCUAUCAGCUAGUUGGUGGGGUAAAAGCCUACCAAGGCGAAGACGGCUAGGGGGCGUGGGAGCGCGACCCCCCACAAGGGAACUGAGACACGGUCCCUACUCCUACGGGAGGCAGCAGUGAGGAAUAUUGCCCAAUGGAGGAAACUCUGAGGCAGCAACGCCGCAUGAACGAGGAAGGCCUUCGGGUUGUAAAGUUCUUUUCUGCGGGAAGAUGAUGACGUACCGCAGAAUAGCCAGCC
Molecule: ribosomal RNA, 465 nt
Filed under: uncultured soil bacterium
Lineage: Bacteria
Description: bacterial SSU rRNA
Rfam family: Bacterial small subunit ribosomal RNA
Source: RNAcentral